CAAGUCGAGCGAAUAGAUGGGAGCUUGCUCCCUGAUAUUAGCGGCGGACGGGUGAGUAACACGUGGGCAACCUACCUGUAAGACUGGGAUAACUUCGGGAAACCGGAGCUAAUACCGGAUAAUUUCUUUUCUCGCAUGAGAAGAGAUGGAAAGACGGUUUCGGCUGUCACUUACAGAUGGGCCCGCGGCGCAUUAGCUAGUUGGUGAGGUAAUGGCUCACCAAGGCCACGAUGCGUAGCCGACCUGAGAGGGUGAUCGGCCACACUGGGACUGAGACACGGCCCAGACUCCUACGGGAGGCAGCAGUAGGGAAUCUUCCGCAAUGGACGAAAGUCUGACGGAGCAACGCCGCGUGAGCGAAGAAGGCCUUCGGGUCGUAAAGCUCUGUUGUUAGGGAAGAACAAGUACCAGAGUAACUGCUGGUACCUUGACGGUACCUAACCAGAAAGCCACGGCUAACUACGUGCCAGCAGCCGCGGUAAUACGUAGGUGGCAAGCGUUGUCCGGAAUUAUUGGGCGUAAAGCGCGCGCAGGUGGUUCUUUAAGUCUGAUGUGAAAGCCCACGGCUCAACCGUGGAGGGUCAUUGGAAACUGGGGAACUUGAGUGCAGAAGAGGAAAGUGGAAUUCCACGUGUAGCGGUGAAAUGCGUAGAGAUGUGGAGGAACACCAGUGGCGAAGGCGACUUUCUGGUCUGUAACUGACACUGAGGCGCGAAAGCGUGGGGAGCGAACAGGAUUAGAUACCCUGGUAGUCCACGCCGUAAACGAUGAGUGCUAAGUGUUAGAGGGUUUCCGCCCUUUAGUGCUGCAGCUAACGCAUUAAGCACUCCGCCUGGGGAGUACGGCCGCAAGGCU
RNAcentral lists this ribosomal RNA (855 nucleotides) under uncultured Bacillus sp. RNAcentral's name for it is "bacterial SSU rRNA". It matches the Rfam family "Bacterial small subunit ribosomal RNA", at positions 58 to 895 of the family's 1533-position model. The record is from RNAcentral. Lineage: Bacteria; Bacillati; Bacillota; Bacilli; Caryophanales; Bacillaceae.